GCGUAAAAGCAAAAUAAAUUCCUAUAUAUAGUAGUACAGAUAACUGGAGUAUGAAAUUUAAUUUACAGUAACAAGUGGGACCCCUGAAUAUUCAAAAGUAAAGAGGACUGUGAACCUACAGUUUGGAAAAUGCAAUUCCAAUGGUAGUCCUCGAUGCAAUCAGCUAUCUACAGUCUAUUCUGAGCCUGAAAUUGAUUGAAAGGAGGGUGGUGAGAUUAUAAAAUCUUAGUGAGUAAACAAAUACCAUCUAAAAUCUCUAAAGUCGAGUAAAUGGAGACAGAUAAAAUAAAUCAUCAUACUUUAAUUUAUCAUCUUUCAACUCAUUUCAACCAAAUAAAAUGCAAUUCAUUUAAAUCGAGUAAUCAACAUGGCCUAUGAAUUUCUUAAAACUUGGCUCAAGUCAAAAAUUAUUCUCAUACUCAGUUAUAAGGGAUACCUUGGCUGAGGGCUAUCCCAAAUCGAGUCCGCCAAGGUUAUUAAAAAGUUAUAUACUCAUAAAUCAUGUUUUUAUUUAGAAAAUAUAACCGUUCCUUGGCGUUGGUCGAGUUCCCCCUCACGUGGUGGUUUGGCGUGAAGUGAACUCUAAAAGUUAUACCUCGAGAGUUACCCUACUCGCCUCUCCAACCGAGGUAAAAUAUGUAAGGAUUCCGUGCCCCUCUAAUAGGCUAGUCCAUAGAACCCAGCCCACUGCAGCAAGCAAUACCCACUAUACAAUAAAAUUUUGACAACAUGACAGGUUAAUUUUAUACUACCCAGCCUGCAAAUGUAAAAUAGAACAAUUCAUACAGUUCACAAAAACCACAACCCAUCCAGCCAUGCCAACACAUUAACAUAAACCAUUUAUUCAAAUCAUAAAUUUACAACAUAUCAGUGGUCUCCAAUUACUCUAUUUUUCAAAAUCAUUAUUUAAUUUCAAGACAAUUUAUAAAAUCAUUUCGUUUAAACACAUUUUGUUUAUAAAACAUAAAGAUUUGCCAUUUAAACUCAUUUUGCAUAAAAUCAUAAAAUCGGAUAAAAACCACUUUAGAUAAUUAAGACAAUAGUAAGGUUACUCACUAUUUCAGGAGUCGAAUUUCUAUAGUACUUCGACUAUCGAUCAUCGGGUACAAUUUUCUUGCCCUUGUCGGAGGACUCACCACCUUGACACAGUACAAAAUCGAGAAACUUAUUACAUUGGUACUAAAUCAAAAUUAAACUAAUUUAGACUAAUGCAUGAUAUGGAAUGCAAAAUGUCCGAUUAAUCGCUUAAAUGUGAUAUUCGACCUAAGUCACACUAUACUUGGUCUAAUCGGCUAAAAUCUCAAAUUUAACUCCAAAUCAAUUCUUCUCACUUUCUACACUCCAAUUAUACCUAAAUUACCUCAGCGACUGUGAAUGAGAUUCAAUUUAUCAGUCUCGGGUCAAUAAUCACACAUGUCUAUAUGUUAAGCAAAAAUUCAGAUUUUCACACAAAAAUUUCCCAUUUAAUUUAUAACCUCACCAAACAUCAAAUAUCACCAAAAUAUUAUGAAAUAUCAUCAAUUUCAGCCUCAAUAUUCUCCCUAGAAAAUUCGGCCUCUUAUGGGUAAUGGGAGAAAAUGAAUUUUUCUUGUUGGCUUUUCUUGCUACGCAUCACUAACUAACUAAAAACACUAACGUAACUUGAAAUCAAAUCAAUCCAACAUCAUUCUCUCUCCAUACCCAUUCGGCCAGUCAUGAAUUCACCAUGAAAACAUGAAAUUUAACCAUGCAAAAUAAGGAGAAAUGCAUGAGAAAGGUAGAUCACAAGUCAAAAUCAAGAAAUUUUACCUUUGAUUGCUUGAUUACUUGAAAUCCACCAAUUUUCCCUUGAAUUUUCCCACCUAGGGUUCUUGUUCUUUUUUUCUUCCUUUGUUCUUCCUUUUGUUUUCCUUUGGCCGGCCAUAUGAAGAAUAUGGGUUGAUUUUGUGCUAAAUUUAAAGUUAAAUAAUAAAUGGUUAUAAACUUGACACAUGUCACCUUGUUAUUGGUCCAUGUGUCAUUUCUUAACAUUAAACUUUCUCUCUCCACCAUAUAAAUUCUUUCAAUUAUCUAUGAUAAUAUUGGAUAAAAUCCAUGUGCUAGACAAGUGUCGGGUGGUGUAAAAUUACAAUUUUGCCACUAAGGUGGUAAAAUUACCAUUUUACCCCUAUGUUCUGAAAAAUACCUGGAUUACAAUUUUUCACUUCUCAACUUCAAAUCAUACUACAAUAAGUCAAAUGUGAUCAAAAUCUUUCAAAAAAAUUCUCAUUUUGUCAUCGAGUGACAAAAUUACCAUUUUGCCCCUAUAUAGUGAAAUUUUCGAUUUGACUCCAAAUCACCAUUUUAAAUCAUUCAUGAACUAUAAAAUUUUCAAUUUCACCCUAUAAUCUCUAUUUGAUCUAGUUCGAGGCUUAAAUCAACUUUGUUGUACCUCUAGGUACAAUACCGACUUUUAUAAAUUUUUGGGGACUCUCCUAGUAUGCAAACAUGCUAUCUAUCACAUGUAUGUCUUGUCUUGUAUUUUAUAAGGUCGGGCUUUACACACCUGCUGGGAUUCGACCUAAUGCUCUAAUAUAAAAAUAAUCAAGAAAUUAAAAAUAUAAUAAUAAACUAGCAUGUAAUCAAAGAAAUAGCCGAAUCCUAUAGGAUCAAUGUUUAUGUUUUUCAUGUAAUUUUCAAAUUAAUUAAGAACUUUCAUAAGUUUAAGAGUUACAUACCUUACUCUGGAUAUUGUAAUCAAAAGCCAAUUAAAUCCAAAUCUUUGCUUGUUCACCUUUAGAAUUUGUCAAAUCUUCAACCACCCAAGUGUUUAGCUUUUAAUAGUAAUCCACACAGUGACCGAAUAAGACUUUCUUAAAGGUAGGAUUUUACUUAAUUUAGCAAGUUUUGUUUCUAAAACAAAAAAGAUUAAAAAUUUUUGCCGAAUCUUAUUUUUGUAAGACAAAGAAAACUAUUUUUCUUUUCUUAUUUUAUGAAGCGGCUGAGAAGUGGUUGGAGGCUUAGAGUUUUAGUUUGCUAACAUAACAUAUUUAUAUAGUCAAACUAAGUUGCAACCUUAGAUACAACAAUUGUAUUUUAAUUCAAUUAUAUCUUUGUAAACUUAAUUAAUUUUUGCACUUUAUUUUGGUCUAUUUCAAUUAAGUCAAACUUAAUUAAUUAUCUUUAUUUAAUCUCAAUCAUGUCACUUAAUGUGUGUGACCCAUUAGGCUUCCAACAUAUUGACAAUAAAUAUAACCCUAAUCAAAUAUCAAUUUGAUAAUUGAUUUAUAUUUAUAUAUCAUAAGCGGCAUCUAGCAAUACGUCAUAACCAUUGAAAUAUUAGAGAGUCAAUUAAAAAAUUUGACAAAGCCCUUCAGUGAUAAGCCUUUCAGUGCAAUAUGAUCCUUUCAUCAAAUAUCCCAGAUAUGUCAUAAAGCAUGACUCAAUGUCUACUUAUAACAUUUCAUAUUAAUUUUCAUAAUUCAUGACUAACCGAAUGAAUUUAGGAAACUAACUUUCCUCAAAUUCAUCAUGCUUUGGCCAAAGACAUUAUACAAGUUAAUCAAGAAUCGAGAACAAGUAAGAUACAUUGCUUCAUAUCACUUGGGGUGAUGAAUCCUCUUUUAACCACUCAUUCACCUUCACAUGGUUUAUGACAUACCCAAAAACACCCUGUUUAGGCAUCUGGUUGCCUCUAGACCCGUAAAAGUGAAAUCAAAGUAUGUCAUUCUCCAUACAAGAUGACCUAGUAUCUCAAGUCUGAGACUAGUUGCACGACUAUCACAUGAGAACAUAUUCUAUAGAUACUUGAGUGAAAUAUCAAAUGGAGUUCUCAUAGCAAGUCAUGUUCAGUGAACUUGUUCUUUAACAUCCCACAUGUUAUCCUCAGGUAUCUCAUAUACUUCAAGCUAUGAGAUUGAUUGCUUACUUCCCAAGUAAAGAGGCUUAACAUGUACUAGUCUUUGAGCAUUAUCAAUACCUUAUCUUGACAAUACAAUGACCAGGAGCUAUUUUAGGAACAUGGUUUUGAUGCACAGUGAUUUCAUAAUUGUAACAACUUUACAAUUCUCUUGCAAGGCCUUUAUGUUCCAUGGGCUUCAUCCAAUUAGUACUUAAUAACUCCUUAUUAUAGCACUAACAUGAAGAAAAACCUUUAUCACAAAUAGUUAUACGAUUAAAUAUGCAUUAAAUGAUAAUAUAUAUUCUUUGACCAAUCUAAUUGGCUCAAGGGAAAAUACCAACACCAAGGCAAAUAUAUGUAUAUAAAUACACAAGAAUAAUAUUUUCCAAUAAGCAUGCCCUACUCACCUUGGUUUGGUGUGAUUUUCAUUUCACCAAUUCCAUUUCUCUAACAAUUUCAUCAAUCUAUUGUUGCAUGCAUGGUUUC
RNAcentral lists this long non-coding RNA (4345 nucleotides) under Theobroma cacao (cacao). Its description in RNAcentral is "long non-coding RNA (TCAC_LNC005804)". Lineage: Eukaryota; Viridiplantae; Streptophyta; Magnoliopsida; Malvales; Malvaceae. The record is from RNAcentral.